This 1188-nucleotide long non-coding RNA is filed under the name Urocitellus parryii (Arctic ground squirrel). RNAcentral describes it as "lncRNA (ENSUPAG00010008370.1)". The record is from RNAcentral. Lineage: Eukaryota; Metazoa; Chordata; Mammalia; Rodentia; Sciuridae.
UCCCUGACCUGCUCCCAGGGACAGCAGUACUGACCCCUCCUGCCACAUGGCAGAGCCUCCCCACCCAAUAGCACCCACUGGACAAGGCAGGCUCCUGGCCUUGGCCCCUCGGGAGGGUGAGGAAGCCCCUCCUCUUGGCAGGGGGACCCCAGCCCGGCUCCCCCUCACACUGGCUCCGUGACUCCAUUCCAGUAACCCCGGCAAUGGGGACAAAAGCCACAACCAUCCGGGGCUUCCUAAUUGCCGGAGCACGUGUUUCAGGGCCCAGGCCCAGGGUCACUCAGGCCCCUGUUCAGACUCCAGCCUGUCCCCUGCACCCAGAGCUGUGGCUUGGGAACCAGGCCCGGGGACAGAGGCGGGGCUGAGGCUGGGCGGGAGGGGCUAUCUGUGCUGGUGGCAUCUAGAUGGGCUCAGGGGGAACAGGAACAACGCGGGUGGAUAGGGACCCCAGGCAGGGCCUGGGCAGGAGGUAACCUCACUCGUGGGGGGAGGCCAGGGGGGUCAGACUGGGUCGGCCUGGUCCAGAGUGCGGUGCCAGCAGGUCAUGCUGGCUGCCUGCAGAGGGGGGUCCUCGUGGGUGACGGAGGCCAGGGACCAGGCAGCCUGGGGCCUCCGUGGGGAGUGACUUCCUGUUUGUCUAGUGAGGCCGGGAGGCAGGGCCUGGGCCAGGCCGAGGACAGUGUCCAGCAUGCCCACUGCCCCCGCGGCUCUGAGCAGGCCUGGUUGGGGCCGCGCUCUCCUUGCUCUGCUCCUGACUCGGGGUCACUCAGGCCUGGCCUGUGUCCUGCCAGCAGCCCUCACUCGCACUGGGACCCCGGAGAGGCGCCCGGCACUCUCUGGCCUCCACGACGGGGCUACCGUCCCCAUUAUCCUGCUUCAGCAGCAAGGAGGGGACGAGGGGGCGGUGGCGCUGGGCAGGAGCCGCCCUGGGUCCAGUGUCCCCGCUGCGCCCAGGGUCGAGCCAGGCCACUGGGCGGAGCCUGUGCCCGGGAAGCGAGCCGAGUGCCCUGCUCGAGACCCAGGCCACCUUGGACACUGGACAAGGACCGGAACCUCAUCCCCACAAACGUACAGAGCGAGCUGACGAGAGCCCAAGGGGCCCUGGGCUCACCCGGGUCCCCGCCCAGCGGUCCCGAUUAGGAAGCAGACGGAAGCGCGGGAACGUCCUGAGCUUUACUCCUCGGCUCG